GUGGUUAGGAUUCGGCGCUCUCAC
RNAcentral lists this non-coding RNA (24 nucleotides) under Gallus gallus (chicken). RNAcentral also lists the same sequence under 3 other names. The record is from RNAcentral. Lineage: Eukaryota; Metazoa; Chordata; Aves; Galliformes; Phasianidae.